This 460-nucleotide ribosomal RNA is filed under the name uncultured bacterium. Its description in RNAcentral is "partial 16S ribosomal RNA". It matches the Rfam family "Bacterial small subunit ribosomal RNA", at positions 338 to 795 of the family's 1533-position model. The record is from RNAcentral.
CCUACGGGGGGCUGCAGUGAGGAAUAUUGGUCAAUGGACGAGAGUCUGAACCAGCCAAGUAGCGUGAAGGAUGACUGCCCUAUGGGUUGUAAACUUCUUUUAUAUGGGAAUAAAAUGUUCCACGUGUGGGAUUUUGUAUGUACCAUAUGAAUAAGGAUCCGCUAACUCCGUGCCAGCAGCCGCGGUAAUACGGAGGAUCCGAGCGUUAUCCGGAUUUAUUGGGUUUAAAGGGAGCGUAGGUGGAUUGUUAAGUCAGUUGUGAAAGUUUGCGGCUCAACCGUAAAAUUGCAGUUGAAACUGGCAGUCUUGAGUACAGUAGAGGUGGGCGGAAUUCGUGAUGUAGCGGUGAAAUGCUUAGAUAUCACGAAGAACUCCGAUUGCGAAGGCAGUUCACUGGACUGCAACUGACACUGAGGCUCGAAAGUGUGGGUAUCAAACAGGAUUAGAUACCCCUGUAGUC